CCUACGGGAGGCAGCAGUGAGGAAUAUUGGUCAAUGGGCGGGAGCCUGAACCAGCCAAGUAGCGUGAAGGAAGACGGCCCUACGGGUUGUAAACCGCUUUUAUAGGGGAGUAACGCGCGCUACGUGUGGGGUUUCGAGAGUACCGGAUGAAUAAGCACCGGCUAAUUCCGUGCCAGCAGCCGCGGUAAUACGGAGGGUACGGGCGUUAUCCGGAUUUAUUGGGUUAAAGGGGUGCGCAGGCGGAAGGUCAAGCGAGCGGUAAAAUUCAGGGGCCCACCCGCUGCGUGCCGGUGAAACUGGCGUGCUUGAGUCAGCGGAAAGCAUGCGGAAUGCGUGGUGUAGCGGUGAAAUGCUUAGAUAUCACGCAGAACCCCGAUUGCGAAGGCAGCUUGCCGCAGCGGAACUGACGCUGAUGCUCGAAAGUGUGGGUAUCGAACAGGAUUAGAUACCCCAGUAGUC
RNAcentral lists this ribosomal RNA (459 nucleotides) under uncultured bacterium. Its description in RNAcentral is "partial 16S ribosomal RNA". It matches the Rfam family "Bacterial small subunit ribosomal RNA", at positions 338 to 795 of the family's 1533-position model. The record is from RNAcentral.